GAAUCGAGAUUGUUCCUUCAUUUUGCUUUCUUUCUUUAGUUGAUUUUGCUUCAUUUCCAAGUUAAGAUGAUACCAUCCUAUAUAAGAGAUUCGUAGCUUUGGAUUUGGUCCACUCGUAGUAGUAAACAGAGGAAGAAAAUGGCGUCUCAGAUAUUCAUACCAUCAGGAAACGCCACUAUUGGUAGCCGAAACGCGGUUUAUGUGGCGGCAGUGCCACUCAAAGCGGCGGCUGGUCCGCCGCAGCUUGUUAUGUCGAUGGCUUACUCACUUAAUCUAUGGAAUUUACAGCAUUUCAUGGUCCUCAUCAAACCUUCUUCUCCAACUCCUCGAGAGGUAAUGGUGUUUGAUUUCCAGCCUGUUAAUCCAGAAAGCAUAGAAGCAGCAAUCUCAAUUUUACUUAGAAACUCGAUUCCAGGUUCUAAUUCCCAGACAAUCAUAUCGAAUGAGUAGUGAUGCAAAGAAAGUUGAAGAAUGUUCCUAAACAAAGAUGUUGGAUGGUUGGAUCAUCCAAAGUGAAUAAUGCAAUUGAAAUGGCAAUUGAGUUUAAUAACUCAUGGGAGACUGAUCUUAGAGUUGGCUCUCAUGAUUGCAGACAUUAUACCAAUGAACUUGUCCAACAUCUUACCGGAGAAAUACAAAUUGUGGAGCAACUCCAAAGAAGCUACAUCAGUUAAUAAUCACCUCAAUAAUUAGUUGAAACGUAUGUUCACUUGUCUACCAAAUUUAAUUGGCCAGCACUUGUAUAUUUUAAGUUUAACCUAGUAGUAGUACUUAGAAUUUAUCAAAAAAAAAUAUCUGAAAUGACAAGUACUCAAACCAACAUUAUUCUCCUUACAUUGGUGGUUAAUAACCAAACACAAGAAACUCAAAACUUAUUAUAAA
This is an RNA transcript of Eutrema salsugineum, 882 nucleotides long. RefSeq lists it as uncharacterized. The transcript is spliced from 5 exons. Lineage: Eukaryota; Viridiplantae; Streptophyta; Magnoliopsida; Brassicales; Brassicaceae. The record is from RefSeq and is a predicted model, not a curated record.